Non-coding RNA from Plectropomus leopardus (leopard coralgrouper), 288 nucleotides. The record is from RefSeq and is a predicted model, not a curated record. NCBI's taxonomy places the organism in Eukaryota, Metazoa, Chordata, Actinopteri, Perciformes, Serranidae.
UGAAGCGGCGCGAGGUGAUGACGCAGGCGUGCGAGGCGCGUGACGCAACAUUUCAAACGCUGAAACGACGGACAGUUUUCUGGUUUCGCGCGCAGUUUUUCGGGUUAAAAAUCGACGUUUUUCGACUAAAGAGACACGGAGGAGUUAAAAUAUGACGAAGACACGGAGACGGUCUGUCCUGCUGUCCCGCAGAGUCCACUGUCCCGCUCCGCCGGUGUCCAGCAGAGGGCGCCAGGACACCUGCAGCUCACAGAGGACGCCGUCACACCUGAAACCAUCAGCUGACAG